AUGUUUCUGAAGCUGGUGUCAGAGCCUUGGAAACAUCAGUGUCAGGAUAUAAUUCACUGUACACUGCCACAACAAAACAAACGCCACAGACGGAAGCAAAAUAUGUUUGUGAUUCUACAGAAUAUGGAAAUAAUACACAUGGAAAAUGGAAAUCUUCCUAGCCAUCUGGAACCUGAGCAUUUGCCAUCAAUAUUAGAUCCAGAAGCACCGAAGCUAGCUAGCAUUUUGCCACUGCUUUCAACGAGGCCAGGAAUCACACACAGCCACAAGUGCUCAGAAGGGGAAGCGCAGCGCUGGAGGGGCGGAAGGACUCCCUCUCUGCUCUCAAGAGGAAACAACAAGGUAAAGGUGAAAGGUAAAGAUGAGGACUGUCCCUUUAUGAUGGUGGUCUCCAUGAAAGGACAUGUGGCACCUGAAGCAAAACAUUUCUUAAACCUCUCUGAGGAAAGCAAGUAGUGAAGAGUGAUGGAAACUAUUUCAGCCUUUGAUGGCAAGGAUGACUGGCACACAGUGGCCCAGAUGUGCUGAGCACGAAGGGAACAGUUUGACUCCUUGCAUGCAGGCAGGUACAAGCUGGGGGAAAAAAGUAAAUCCAUCAAAUAGUCACCUAUGUAUUCCUCUUCCCUCCAUUAAGAUUUCAUUGCGUGACUCAAGAAACAUGUCAUCUUAAAACCUUAGAGGAUAAGUUGUCAGAAUGCAUUGUCCUUUUAAGACUUCCUUUGGUCUCUCAUUUAAAUCUUUGAAAUGCUUUGUGAGUUAUUUUUUCACAUUCACUUUGAUUUCAAUAUUGUAGAGAUGAAUGUGCCUUCCCUCUUGUGAGUUAAGUGCUUAAAAUAUCCUGGAUAAACAAAAUGUGAGGUAUGAAUUGUGAAAAUGACAAUUGUUCUUUACGGCCCUCUAUACGCAGAGCAGGUCCAAGUCUCACAGACCCUUCAAACGUACAUCUCCUCCUUCUGGUGAUUACAGCUUAACACCGUACUGAUGAUAAAAGGUAAAUGAGUUCCUACAGCAGAAUAGGUAUCAAGUCUAUGAAGCUUUUGUGAACGUGGAUGCUGCUCUUACCAUUAUGGGCAAUUAGAGCGCUUUGAAAGUGUGUUGCCUGACUUUCUGUUGCUUGGUAACUGGUGCACCUAAUUCUUUCUCUAAGAGGUCACAG
This 1156-nucleotide long non-coding RNA is filed under the name Numida meleagris (helmeted guineafowl). RNAcentral describes it as "lncRNA (ENSNMEG00000012966.1)". Lineage: Eukaryota; Metazoa; Chordata; Aves; Galliformes; Numididae. The record is from RNAcentral.